RNAcentral lists this long non-coding RNA (216 nucleotides) under Elaeis guineensis (African oil palm). Its description in RNAcentral is "long non-coding RNA (EGUI_LNC061841)". Lineage: Eukaryota; Viridiplantae; Streptophyta; Magnoliopsida; Arecales; Arecaceae. The record is from RNAcentral.
AAAUGAUAUAAUUGUUAUAAGGACGAUAAUUAUAUCAAGUGUAGGUCGUUGUGUGCCAUAUUAGUUGGUUGUCCUCUUAACCAAGGCGUGUGGUGAUAUGGGUAUGACACAUGGGUGAUAUAUCGAAGUAUAUUUCACUGAGCGUGACCACUUUCAGAGCACUCUACUGUCAAAGAUUACUCUGAUGGGAUAUAGGUAUAUGUAUUCCUCUGAUCU